RNAcentral lists this ribosomal RNA (51 nucleotides) under Talaromyces rugulosus. RNAcentral's name for it is "partial 28S ribosomal RNA". The record is from RNAcentral. Lineage: Eukaryota; Fungi; Ascomycota; Eurotiomycetes; Eurotiales; Trichocomaceae.
UUGACCUCGGAUCAGGUAGGGUUACCCGCUGAACUUAAGCAUAUCAAUAAG